UACGGAGGAUCCGAGCGUUAUCCGGAUUUAUUGGGUUUAAAGGGUGCGCAGGCGGGAAAUUAAGUCGGCGAUGAAAUUUUGCAGCUCAACUGUAAAAGUGCCUUCGAAACUGGUUUCCUUGAGUGUGGAUGAAGUAGGCGGAAUUUGUGGUGUAGCGGUGAAAUGCAUAGAUAUCACGAGGAACUCCGAUUGCGCAGGCAGCUUACUAAACCAUAACUGACGCUCAGGCACGAAGGCGUGGGGAUCAAACAGGAUUAGAUACCCGCGUAGU
This 271-nucleotide ribosomal RNA is filed under the name uncultured prokaryote. RNAcentral describes it as "partial 16S ribosomal RNA". It matches the Rfam family "Bacterial small subunit ribosomal RNA", at positions 524 to 794 of the family's 1533-position model. The record is from RNAcentral.